AAGUCGUAACAAGGUUUCCGUAGGUGAACCUGCGGAAGGAUCAUUAACACGUAUCCAACGUAAAAAACCCCCCUGUGAACAUUCAGUGCGAUCCAGCAAUCCCGGUAAAUCAUUGUCGAACAGUAUUGAUUCGGGACUUCUGACAAAUGAGAAGUUACAGUUACGAUUGAGCGGAGAUAGCUGCAUGGCAUCCCGAAGCAGUCAGUGUCUGAAAGUGUCAUUGAUUGUCUAAGGAUCUCGCCUCAACGAUUGCCAGAGGUCGCUCACCGACCGGCAGACAUGCAACCGGGUCCCCACGCCCCUUUACAACCCCAUUACCUCUGUGAGUCGCGGGAAACUAGCGGCUAAAAAACCUCGAACAACUGUUAACAAUGGAUAUCUUGGUUCUC
Molecule: unclassified non-coding RNA, 389 nt
Filed under: fungal sp.
Lineage: Eukaryota; Fungi
Description: partial internal transcribed spacer region
Rfam family: Eukaryotic small subunit ribosomal RNA (bases 1-46)
Source: RNAcentral